This 252-nucleotide ribosomal RNA is filed under the name uncultured Bacteroidales bacterium. RNAcentral's name for it is "partial 16S ribosomal RNA". It matches the Rfam family "Bacterial small subunit ribosomal RNA", at positions 524 to 776 of the family's 1533-position model. The record is from RNAcentral. Lineage: Bacteria; Pseudomonadati; Bacteroidota; Bacteroidia; Bacteroidales.
UACGGAGGAUGCGAGCGUUAUCCGGAUUUAUUGGGUUUAAAGGGUGCGCAGGCGGAUUUUUAAGUCAGCGGUCAAAUCGUGGGGCUCAACCCCAUCCAGCCGUUGAAACUGGGGAUCUAGAGUGUGCGAGAGGUAUGCGGAAUGCGUGGUGUAGCGGUGAAAUGCGUAGAUAUACGGAGGAACACCAGUGGCGAAGGCGGCUGUCUGGUCUGCAACUGACGCUGAGGCUCGAAAGCAUGGGUAGCGAACAGG